This 73-nucleotide transfer RNA is filed under the name Yimella lutea. RNAcentral's name for it is "tRNA-Arg". It matches the Rfam family "tRNA". From Rfam's summary of the family: Transfer RNA (tRNA) molecules are approximately 80 nucleotides in length. Their secondary structure includes four short double-helical elements and three loops (D, anti-codon, and T loops). The record is from RNAcentral. Lineage: Bacteria; Bacillati; Actinomycetota; Actinomycetes; Micrococcales; Dermacoccaceae.
GCCCUUGAAGUUCACCGGAUUGAACACUCGGCUACGGACCGAGAGGCAGCAGGUUCGAUUCCUGCCAGGGGCA